GCAGGAUUAAACACUACUUGCAAUAUGUGCCUAUUGCAGGCAUGACAGACUGAGAAAGAGAGAAUCUAAACAGUAGAUUAUCAAACUACAUAGUUUAUUAGAACUCCUCUGAAAAGGGCAUAAACAAUUGUAGGCCUGAUAAUUGCAAAUGUAAGCUUUAUUUACAAAGUUAAUAAAUUGAACAAACAAACUAUAGGGUCAGUUGGAGCAGAAAACUGACCAAUUUGGACAGCUAGAUUUUUACAACGUCAAUGUAUUUAUACUACCAUGUCACACCCUGGAAAUAAUCAGUCCAAAGGCCUAUAUACAGUCUCAUCAACUUGAUCCAAAACUUCCCAUGACUUCUACUAUUUAUGUACUUCACAGUUGUCACGAAAACAGUGUGCUCAACAUCUCAUUAGAGUGGAUCCUGUAACAGUAUUAAUUCACAAUAUAUUUGAAACUAAACUUCCCAUCCCACCAAAUCUUGCACAAAUGUUCUAUUUCAUUCUUCUGAUGCACGAAAUAAAAACCUUUCAAGUUGCAUUGGCCAAUCUUCUCCAAGAAUCUGAGGGUUUAGUUCCAUUGCAAGCUGAAAAUCUAACAUGGACACUGCAAUGGACCUGCUGGGUUUUUGAAAAUAUCUCACAGGCCACACCCCAUUCAAACCAGAUAUGGAACAAAUUUGUCCUUGGCUUGUAUGUUUCCCUCCAGAUCUUGAACCAGCUAAACCCAUACAGGGUUUUAUCAAUCUCUUCAAGUAAACAUCGAGGCUGUUAUUUAACAAAUCAGCACAAUCAACUGAAACUUUUAUUCCUUCCAUCUCCAACUUCUGCUCCAACCUCUUUCUUAAAGAAUUGGAAUCAGGUAAUUCACCACUAUUCUGACAGGUCCCCAUAUGAUAAGAAGAUGCCAAGCGAUUACACAGUACUUUUCGUGCCCCUUUACCGUUCAAGGGGAUGCCAAGAGGAGCUCUAACAGGGCUCCUACUAUAAAUGCUGGGGCUUCCAGCAGCCUGAUCAACCUCUUCUCCAUCCUCCACAGAGCCGGGGGGUUUGCUGACCAAAGAAAGCAGCUCAGUGGUACUCUGUUCUUGGUUUUUAGGGAUUGAAUCUUCAAAUGCAAUAGUAUGGCUCUUCCCAUGAGGGCCAAGAGGACUAGGACGAUCCCUGAACUUGCGUUCACUAAGAACUGACCUCCCCUUACGAGGAGAUUGGAGAAAAUCCCUGCAUAGGGAUUGAAGACUACUUUUUUGAUACCCAUUAGGCACUUUGACACUUAAAGCGCCUUUAGCUUUGCUCUCCUUUGGCGGGGGAGUCCUGGAGAAAUGUGCAUUUUUUAUAAUUGAUCUGAGGAGGUGGUUAUGAAGUCGUACAUUUUCCCUCCCUAUUGUACCAAUGCAGAGUCUAUCAAAAUCAGAUUUGCUAAUCUUAAUACUCAGAAACUUUGAGAGGAGAUCAAAGUACUUCUGGGCUUUUAGAUGCCCAAGCUUCUUCUCAAUCUGCAAUUUUAGCUCUAAUGUGCCUAUCCGGGCAAAAUGCCUAGCUGCUGGCAUUUUAGUUUCAAAACUCCUCACUAGCAAUCAUCAAGACAAAAACAAAAUUAUAUGGUUAUGCUAAAAACCAUUGCAUGGAAAAUUACAACAAAAAAUAAUUUCCCAAUUAAAAUCACAAAAGAAGCAAAAAUUCUAGAUUGUAAAAAGAUAUAUACUUAAAACAAGCUUGUCACUUCUAUUAGAACCCCAAGAACCUAAAUUCAUCAGUUUCUAGCAAUUCACUAUUCGCCAAGUAAAGUCAACAGUAGAAGCAAAGACAAGAAGAAUAACUAAAUUCCAGAACAAAAGAAACAAAACCCAUAUCAAAAUUAAUAGAAAAACGCAAAUUUUAACUUCAUUUUACUCAUUACAGCUUCAAUUCAAUUAGUUGUUCACCAAAUCAAAGCUUAAACAUGGAAUACAAAAUACACAAAAAAUUUUCACCACCCAACUUCCACUUCACAUAAACAAACAGAAGAAAACAACAAAACUAGGAAAAAAAUAAAACAAUUUCAAAAAUUCUAAGUUAAAUAGGAGCUCCACACGACACCCUAUUGAUAAAAACCCAGAGACUGAGCAAGGCAAUCCAGACAUUGAAACAAAGAAAGAAAACAAAUGAUGUAAAGAAGAAGAGAAAGGCCAAGUUAAAUUGAAGAAGUACCUAAUUGAAUUUGGUAGAGGCUUCACUGUAUUAUUGAGUGCAAAUUAUGAAUCAGUAGCUCUCUUGUUUUUUUCAACAGGGAGAGUGGAGUGAGAGAGAUUAGGGCUAGUGAAGCAGGAAAAAACGAGGGUCUUUCGAAGCUUCUGUCUAAGCCAUGCGUGGGUUAAUGUGCACGUGCG
Molecule: unclassified non-coding RNA, 2353 nt
Filed under: Hevea brasiliensis (rubber tree)
Lineage: Eukaryota; Viridiplantae; Streptophyta; Magnoliopsida; Malpighiales; Euphorbiaceae
Source: RNAcentral